AGUUCACAUCGACGGAGUGGUUUGGCACCUCGAUGUCGGCUCAUCGCAUCCUGGGGCUGAAGUAGGUCCCAAGGGUUGGGCUGUUCGCCCAUUAAAGCGGUACGCGAGCUGGGUUCAGAACGUCGUGAGACAGUUCGGUCCCUAUCCGGCGUGGGCGUAGGAUAUUUGAGAGGAGCUGUCCUUAGUACGAGAGGACCGGGAUGGACUGGCCGCUGGUGUAUCUGUUGGCUUACCAAGGCCAUGGCAGAGUAGCCAAGCCGGGACGGGAUAAACGCUGAAGGCAUCUAAGCGUGAAGCCCCCCUCAAGAUGAGAUAUCCCUGCGCAAGCAGUAAGACCCCUUGAAGACGACGAGGUAGAUAGUACGGAGGUGGAAGUGCAGCAAUGUAUGGAGCUGACCGUAACUAAUCGGUCGAGGGCAUGACCA
This 425-nucleotide ribosomal RNA is filed under the name Lachnospiraceae bacterium MD308. Its description in RNAcentral is "partial 23S ribosomal RNA". It matches the Rfam family "Bacterial large subunit ribosomal RNA", at positions 2497 to 2925 of the family's 2925-position model. The record is from RNAcentral. Lineage: Bacteria; Bacillati; Bacillota; Clostridia; Lachnospirales; Lachnospiraceae.